Molecule: ribosomal RNA, 513 nt
Filed under: uncultured bacterium
Lineage: Bacteria
Description: partial 16S ribosomal RNA
Rfam family: Bacterial small subunit ribosomal RNA
Source: RNAcentral
AAUUAACGCUGGCGGCGUGCCUAAUACACGCAAGUCGAGCGAACAGAUAAGGAGCUUGCUCCUUUGACGUUAGCGGCGGACGGGUGAGUAACACGUGGGUAACCUACCUAUAAGACUGGAAUAACUCCGGGAAACCGGGGCUAAUGCCGGAUAACAUUUAGAACCGCAUGGUUCUAAAGUGAAAGAUGGUUUUGCUAUCACUUAUAGAUGGACCCGCGCCGUAUUAGCUAGUUGGUAAGGUAAUGGCUUACCAAGGCAACGAUACGUAGCCGGACUGAGAGGGUGAUCGGCCACACUGGAACUGAGAAACGGCCCAGACUCCUACGGGAGGCAGCAGUAGGGAAUCUUCCGCAAUGGGCGAAAGCCUGACGGAGCAACGCCGCGUGAGUGAUGAAGGGUGUCGGCUCGUAAAACUCUGUUAUUAGGGAAGAACAAACGUGUAAGUAACUGUGCACGUCUUGACGGUACCUAAUCAGAAAGCCACGGCUAACUACGUGCCAGCAGCCGCCGUAA